RNAcentral lists this ribosomal RNA (253 nucleotides) under Segatella copri DSM 18205. RNAcentral's name for it is "Prevotella copri DSM 18205 partial 16S ribosomal RNA". It matches the Rfam family "Bacterial small subunit ribosomal RNA", at positions 524 to 776 of the family's 1533-position model. The record is from RNAcentral. Lineage: Bacteria; Pseudomonadati; Bacteroidota; Bacteroidia; Bacteroidales; Prevotellaceae.
UACGGAAGGUCCGGGCGUUAUCCGGAUUUAUUGGGUUUAAAGGGAGCGUAGGCCGGAGAUUAAGCGUGUUGUGAAAUGUAGUUGCUCAACAUCUGCACUGCAGCGCGAACUGGUUUCCUUGAGUACGCACAAAGUGGGCGGAAUUCGUGGUGUAGCGGUGAAAUGCUUAGAUAUCACGAAGAACUCCGAUUGCGAAGGCAGCUCACUGGAGCGCAACUGACGCUGAAGCUCGAAAGUGCGGGUAUCGAACAGG